This is a regulatory RNA element of Delftia acidovorans SPH-1, 119 nucleotides long. It matches the Rfam family "Glycine riboswitch aptamer". From Rfam's summary of the family: This family represents the bacterial glycine riboswitch. Lineage: Bacteria; Pseudomonadati; Pseudomonadota; Betaproteobacteria; Burkholderiales; Comamonadaceae. The record is from Rfam.
GCGUUCCUAGCUGGAGAGAGAUGCAGGGCACGGCGGUGUGCCCCAUCCACCGAAGGAGCAAGCCCCACGCAUGGAAGGUGCGGGUGAAUCUCUCAGGUAAAGCGGACAGCAGGGCAGGA